This 331-nucleotide unclassified non-coding RNA is filed under the name soil metagenome. RNAcentral's name for it is "partial contains 5.8S ribosomal RNA, internal transcribed spacer 2, and large subunit ribosomal RNA". The stretch from base 1 to 120 matches the Rfam family "5.8S ribosomal RNA", at positions 35 to 154 of the family's 154-position model. The record is from RNAcentral.
GAUGAAGAACGUAGCAAAAUGCGAUAAGUAAUGUGAAUUGCAGAAUUCAGUGAAUCAUCGAAUCUUUGAACGCACAUUGCGCCCGCCAGUAUUCUGGCGGGCAUGCCUGUUCGAGCGUCAUUUCAACCCUCAAGCACAGCUUGGUGUUGGGACUCGCGUUAAUUCGCGUUCCCCAAAUUGAUUUGCGGUCACGUCGAGCUUCCAUAGCGUAGUAGUAAAACCCUCGUUACUGGUAAUCGUCGCGGCCACGCCGUUAAACCCCAACUUCUGAAUGUUGACCUCGGAUCAGGUAGGAAUACCCGCUGAACUUAAGCAUAUCAAUAGCGGAGGA